This 497-nucleotide long non-coding RNA is filed under the name Equus asinus (donkey). RNAcentral describes it as "lncRNA (ENSEASG00005024920.1)". The record is from RNAcentral. Lineage: Eukaryota; Metazoa; Chordata; Mammalia; Perissodactyla; Equidae.
GAGCCGGGUCUGAUAGGCCCUCCUUGUUCUGCCAGCGGCCAGAGAGGCUUAUCACACAUCAGAUUGUGUUUCCUUUGAGGUAACCUCAAACCAAAGCUCGCUGUUCCCCGAAGAACAAAGAGAGAGUGAGAACGUUGUGCGGGUGCUUGGGAGCGCUCAGAUGGUCACAAGUCAGGAGGCCUGCUUGGAUUUUGCUGACUUUGCACCAGAAGGGUCUCACCAUGACCGGCAUUGAGGGUGGCGAGUGGCUUUGCCAAGUCAAAGGACUUUGAAGAAGUCACAUAGACCCCGUGGGCUGAUGGAGACUUAGAGACCUCUAGAGCGCAGUCAAGGAAAGUUUCUAUUCCAUAAAAACGUCUUAAGAAUCAUCAAAGGUAACCCUCAGAGCAAGACAAGAGGAAUGUCAAGAUCAGCAAAGCGACUUGGUUGGCCUCAUUGGUGAUCCCACCCACAGUGAAAUCUGAGCCAAGGGUCUCCAUUUUAGAUGACUUCAAAGU